RNAcentral lists this ribosomal RNA (253 nucleotides) under uncultured bacterium. RNAcentral's name for it is "partial 16S ribosomal RNA". It matches the Rfam family "Bacterial small subunit ribosomal RNA", at positions 524 to 776 of the family's 1533-position model. The record is from RNAcentral.
UACGUAGGGGGCAAGCGUUGUCCGGAAUCAUUGGGCGUAAAGAGCGUGUAGGCGGCCCGAUAAGUCCGCUGUGAAAGUCCAGGGCUCAACCCUGGGAUGCCGGUGGAUACUGUCGGGCUCGAGUCCGGAAGAGGAGUGUGGAAUUCCUGGUGUAGCGGUGAAAUGCGCAGAUAUCAGGAGGAACACCAGUGGCGAAGGCGGCUCACUGGCCCGGUACUGACGCUGAGGCGCGAAAGCGUGGGGAGCAAACAGG